Molecule: ribosomal RNA, 253 nt
Filed under: uncultured bacterium
Lineage: Bacteria
Description: partial 16S ribosomal RNA
Rfam family: Bacterial small subunit ribosomal RNA
Source: RNAcentral
UACAGAGGUCUCAAGCGUUGUUCGGAUUCAUUGGGCGUAAAGGGUGUGUAGGUGGCGCCGUAAGUCGGGUGUGAAAUUUCGGAGCUUAACUCCGAAACUGCAUUCGAUACUGCCGUGCUUGAGGACUGGAGAGGAGACUGGAAUUUACGGUGUAGCGGUGAAAUGCGUAGAUGUCGUAAGGAAGACCAGUGGCGAAGGCGGGUCUCUGGACAGUUCCUGACGCUGAGGCACGAAGGUCAGGGGAGCAAACGGG